UGACUACCGGCUGAUACUCAAAGAGUGGCAGUCAGCACUUCCUGAAGCUGAUGGUUUUAGAUUAAGAUCUCUGAUGAAUGGGAAGAAACGCAAAGUGUUGCCCCAGGCUAUCGAGGCAGAUCUGGAUUGAUGUUGCCAAGUGAGCACAGGAGGCUUUGGAGGGAGUGAGAAUUCAGGCUUCACAGAGGCUUCUCCUGUGGUUGUGUUGAGGGGAGCCCCUCGCCUGGCUCUGCUGCGUUGGAGCAGUGACACUGCUGGCCUGGCACCUGCCUGCCUGCUGGUGAUCACCUGCUGGAACUGCCUUACUGCAGAGGAGCGUGAAGGACCUGCUGUAUGGGAAGUUUUCAUCUGCUUCAUUGGAGACGCACUUGGGCCCUCAGAACACCUACUAGGCAUGUUGGCAGUUCUUCAGGUUAAAAGAGAGUAAACAUCAAGAGAAACAAGCAAAAAGGAGAGGUGUGUGACUCCUAUCAGGGAACUCGGAGCCCAUUUCAAGUUACUGCAUACUCAAGAGAAAGAUAAAUGCAAAGGAACUGUUCAUGUGUUCAGUGUGUAAAAUUCACAAAGAAGGAAAUGGCAUCUAAGUAAGUUUAAUGUACAACAUGUGCAAAUUCAGCCUUGCAAAGAUUGUCAUAACAUUUUCAAGCUCUUGUCCAAAUUCUGCUUGCUUUCCUGUAUAGAUAAUUAUGUUAGGUAAAACCCUUC
Molecule: long non-coding RNA, 705 nt
Filed under: Gallus gallus (chicken)
Lineage: Eukaryota; Metazoa; Chordata; Aves; Galliformes; Phasianidae
Source: RNAcentral